UAGGAGAUAAAACAUUUCGCCAAGACCACCAAACAGUCAAAACUUUAGUUAGCAGAUCGGAAAAUUCUUAUCCAGAGACUACUUGAUCAAACUACAAAGUCAUAUCAUAACCAACACAUCGUCCCUUCACAUAGAAAUUCAAUAUAGCUGUUUCAUUUCAUCAGCAACGUGCAUAAUCAUUUACGUUGUUUUCUUCAUAUUAACUGCCAUAAACGUAACUAAUUACGAGAUUAAGAGAAUUAAAUUUAGCUGAAAAUUAGAGAACUAAUGCAAAUUCAAACUCCGAAACAAGCAACCUAAUAAUCAAAGCUGAUUAUGUUAACAUAGUACCAAAAUAUAGGAGAGCUACGAAGAGGAACCUGACGGUGAAAACAAUGAGCAGCUUAGAAAGCGAAGGAUUAUCACGGAAAGUUUUCGAAAAUCUCUCGAUCACUGUUACUCUCUGCAUUUUGCGUUCAAUUUAAGCGAUCUCACCUUGCCUUUUGUUCACCUAUCAACAGAAACAAAAGCAUCCAUAAAUUCGCCAUAAAUUAACACAGCUAUACUACUAACGCUACAAAAUCUCAGAAAUAUCACCUUAAAGUCACUUCAGGUACCAAUAGAAAUCAAAGCGUUUACGAAUUCUUACAUGGACCUAUACAAAUAUACUACAAAAUAUAUACCUGAGUUUUGCUGUUGCGUAGAGAGAGAACGUGGUGUGAGUUGUAGAAAAGGAGAGAGAAUCAAUGACAAGAAGAGAACAUGGAAAUGUGCAAAGUUUUUCCCCCCUGAGAAAUGGGAAUUGGGAAGGUGAAGAGUCAAAGAGAGUCAGGAAGCUUCUAAUACUUUCCAGCUUAGAGCAGCGCUGGUCUUUGCUUAACGUGAUGCCCAAGAAUUAGACACAUGUAUUUUGGAAGGCGGAGUGCAUUUUUGCUCUGUUGUCUCCGGAGGUGUUU
This 935-nucleotide long non-coding RNA is filed under the name Nicotiana tabacum (common tobacco). RNAcentral describes it as "long non-coding RNA (NTAB_LNC006347)". The record is from RNAcentral. Lineage: Eukaryota; Viridiplantae; Streptophyta; Magnoliopsida; Solanales; Solanaceae.